UCACUUCAUCAGCCAAUGCUUGAUUGUAAAGACUAUGCAACCGAUCUUCCAGCCAGUGUUUUAUAUACCUAGGCUGCCUUCUGUUGAGAGUUUUGCUUUUUUGUUCCUGCCUGGCUGAAACCUUUUGUAAAUCUCUGAAAAGAUAAACUGCCUCAGUCUCCUGUCUACUCACUGCAUUCAGGAGCGACAAAGAAGAAAUAGAUGUGCAAAACAUAUGUUCCAGAAGCAAAGUAAUUUCUCCACAUCUGCAGAAUAAAGACCCUUGGACACCCUGCAAUCUAUUCUCCACCAGAUUCCUCAGCUGCAUCUCCCCCAUCUUCUGAUUCAGGACAACACCUGGCCUCUCUCGGGGGAUGCACCCCGCAGUGGAGAGUUGCAGACUGAAGUGGCAGCUGGUCUGGUGCGUCCACUCUCUGCUGUCAACCUCCUACUGCCAAUUGGAGUAAACAGAAAGAAAAUCUAUAUUAGCCCCACUUAUUGCAUUGUUUUCUGUCCCAUAACUGCUCUUGCCUAUCAAACAGUGCAUUAAAUUAUG
Long non-coding RNA from Thunnus maccoyii (southern bluefin tuna), 535 nucleotides. RefSeq lists it as uncharacterized. The transcript is spliced from 3 exons. The record is from RefSeq and is a predicted model, not a curated record. NCBI's taxonomy places the organism in Eukaryota, Metazoa, Chordata, Actinopteri, Scombriformes, Scombridae.